CAGAGCGAACGCUANCGGCGCGCUUAACACAUGCAAGUCGUGCGAGAAAGUUCUCUUCGGAGGGCGAGUAGAGCGGCGAACGGGUGAGUAACACGUGGAUAAUCUACCCUUGAGUUUGGGAUAACCAGCCGAAAGGCUGGCUAAUACCGGAUAAGACCACACGUCAUAAGGCGUGCGGCCAAAGGCGGGUUUCGGCCUGUCGCUCGAGGAUGGGUCCGCGACCCAUCAGCUUGUUGGUAGGGUAACGGCCUACCAAGGCUAAGACGGGUAGCUGGUCUGAGAGGACGAUCAGCCACACUGGCACUGACACACGGGCCAGACUCCUACGGGAGGCAGCAGUGGGGAAUCUUGCGCAAUGGGCGAAAGCCUGACGCAGCGACGCCGCGUGAGGGAAGAAGGCCUUCGGGUCGUAAACCUCUGUCGGGGGGGAAGAACCCCUGGUGGAUUAAUACCCCACCAGGCUGACGGUACCCCCUAANGAANNAUCGGCUAACUACGUGCCAGCANCCGCGGNAAUACGUAGGAUGCAANCGUUGCUCGGAAUUAUUGGGCGUAAAGGGCGCGUAGGUGGCCUGNNNAGUCAGGGGUGAAAUCCCACAGCUUAACUGUGGACCUGCCUCUGAUACUGCUAGGCUUGAGUGCUGGA
Molecule: ribosomal RNA, 646 nt
Filed under: uncultured bacterium
Lineage: Bacteria
Description: bacterial SSU rRNA
Rfam family: Bacterial small subunit ribosomal RNA
Source: RNAcentral